UGGGGGAUAUUGCGCAAUGGGGGAAACCCUGACGCAGCAACGCCGCGUGAAGGAAGAAGGUCUUCGGAUUGUAAACUUCUUUUGUCAGGGACGAAGAAAGUGACGGUACCUGACGAAUAAGCUCCGGCUAACUACGUGCCAGCAGCCGCGGUAAUACGUAGGGAGCGAGCGUUGUCCGGAUUUACUGGGUGUAAAGGGUGCGUAGGCGGCCGAGCAAGUCAGUUGUGAAAACUAUGGGCUUAACCCAUAACGUGCAAUUGAAACUGUCCGGCUUGAGUGAAGUAGAGGUAGGCGGAAUUCCCGGUGUAGCGGUGAAAUGCGUAGAGAUCGGGAGGAACACCAGUGGCGAAGGCGGCCUACUGGGCUUUAACUGACGCUGAGGCACGAAAGCAUGGGUAGCAAACAGGAUUAGAUACCCUGGUAGUCCAUGCCGUAAACGAUGAUUACUAGGUGUGGGGGGACUGACCCCUUCCGUGCCGCAGUUAACACAAUAAGUAAUCCACCUGGGGAGUACGGCCGCAAGGUUGAAACUCAAAGGAAUUGACGGGGGCCCGCACAAGCAGUGGAGUAUGUGGUUUAAUUCGAAGCAACGCGAAGAACCUUACCAGGUCUUGACAUCCUGAGAAUCCUUAAGAGAUUAGGGAGUGCCUUCGGGAACUCAGAGACAGGUGGUGCAUGGUUGUCGUCAGCUCGUGUCGUGAGAUGUUGGGUUAAGUCCCGCAACGAGCGCAACCCUUGUUAUUAGUUGCUACGCAAGAGCACUCUAAUAGGACUGCCGUUGACAAAACGGAGGAAGGUGGGGACGACGUCAAAUCAUCAUGCCCCUUAUGACCUGGGCUACACACGUACUACAAUGGCCAUUAACAGAGGGAAGCAAAACCGCGAGGCAGAGCAAACCCCUAAAAAUGGUCCCAGUUCGGAUUGUAGGCUGCAACCCGCCUACAUGAAGUUGGAAUUGCUAGUAAUCGCGGAUCAGCAUGCCGCGGUGAAUACGUUCCC
This 999-nucleotide ribosomal RNA is filed under the name uncultured bacterium. RNAcentral's name for it is "bacterial SSU rRNA". It matches the Rfam family "Bacterial small subunit ribosomal RNA", at positions 355 to 1375 of the family's 1533-position model. The record is from RNAcentral.